CUUAGCGGCGGACGGGUGAGUAACGCGUGGGCAACCUGCCUUACACAGGGGGAUAACAAUUAGAAAUGAUUGCUAAUACCGCAUAAGACCCCAGUACCGCAUGGUACAGAGGUAAAAACUGAGGUGGUGUAAGAUGGGCCCGCGUCUGAUUAGGUAGUUGGUGGGGUAGAAGCCUACCAAGCCGACGAUCAGUAGCCGACCUGAGAGGGCGACCGGCCACAUUGGGACUGAGACACGGCCCAAACUCCUACGGGAGGCAGCAG
This 263-nucleotide ribosomal RNA is filed under the name uncultured bacterium. RNAcentral describes it as "partial 16S ribosomal RNA". It matches the Rfam family "Bacterial small subunit ribosomal RNA", at positions 91 to 354 of the family's 1533-position model. The record is from RNAcentral.